Long non-coding RNA from Mauremys reevesii (Reeves's turtle), 547 nucleotides. RefSeq lists it as uncharacterized. The record is from RefSeq and is a predicted model, not a curated record. The transcript has 3 exons. Lineage: Eukaryota; Metazoa; Chordata; Testudines; Geoemydidae.
UCCUCUGUGUGUGGCCCCACAGAAAGGCGGUACAACUGCAGUGAACUCAUCUUCUGUCACCGCAUCAUCGUAUCAUUUCAGACCAUCCCAUCAUGCUGUAAAGACGAGUGGGACGGGUCCUGAACUCUAGUGUAUGAUGCGGAUUUGCACUAAUGAGUCUGGUACGGGGCUGAACUCUGGCACUGACGGUGCCCAGCUGCUUCACACCAGCUGAGGACCUGACCCAACCAGGUUUGGAUUUGAAGCAACAGUCGAGAGAGUUUCUUUGGGCACUUUCUUCGCAAAAAUUGCAGCAAUCCGCUCUGAGGUCUCAAGCAGAUGCCAAAGACAAGAAGGGCUGGCUGUUGGCACAAACAAAGCAAGAUGCCACAGGGAGCCCUGCUCCAAGGGACCCCAAGAUUCCAUGCUAAUACUGCAACUCGGGGCUUGUCAACCCCCCUCUCUGAAGGCAUAACUAAGGUAGCAGACGACUCAAGGCUCCUUCCAGGAUCUUCGAGCCCCACAAAUUUUAAGACUGGCUCUGGAUCCCCCCCUAGGACUUCAGUAA